RNAcentral lists this ribosomal RNA (1449 nucleotides) under uncultured bacterium. Its description in RNAcentral is "bacterial SSU rRNA". It matches the Rfam family "Bacterial small subunit ribosomal RNA". The record is from RNAcentral.
AGGGUUUGAUCAUGGCUCAGGAUGAACGCUGGCGGCGUGCUUAACACAUGCAAGUCGAACGAACCUUCGGGUUAGUGGCGGACGGGUGAGUAACGCGUGGGAAUCUGCCCUCAGGAGGGGGAUAACGGCUGGAAACGGCCGCUAAUACCCCAUAUGCCGAGAGGUGAAAUGAAUUUCGCCUGAGGAUGAGCCCGCGUCUGAUUAGCUAGUUGGUGAGGUAAGAGCUCACCAAGGCAUCGAUCAGUAGCUGGUCUGAGAGGAUGAUCAGCCACACUGGGACUGAGACACGGCCCAGACUCCUACGGGAGGCAGCAGUGGGGAAUUUUCCGCAAUGGGCGAAAGCCUGACGGAGCAACGCCGCGUGAGGGAUGAAGGCCUCUGGGCUGUAAACCUCUUUUCUCAAGGAAGAAGAUCUGACGGUACUUGAGGAAUAAGCCACGGCUAAUUCCGUGCCAGCAGCCGCGGUAAUACGGGAGUGGCAAGCGUUAUCCGGAAUUAUUGGGCGUAAAGCGUCCGCAGGCGGCCCUUCAAGUCUGCUGUUAAAACGUGGAGCUUAACUCCAUCAUGGCAGUGGAAACUGUUGGGCUUGAGUGUGGUAGGGGCAGAGGGAAUUCCCGGUGUAGCGGUGAAAUGCGUAGAUAUCGGGAAGAACACCAGUGGCGAAGGCGCUCUGCUGGGCCAUAACUGACGCUCAUGGACGAAAGCCAGGGGAGCGAAAGGGAUUAGAUACCCCUGUAGUCCUGGCCGUAAACGAUGAACACUAGGUGUCGGGGGAAUCGACCCCCUCGGUGUCGUAGCCAACGCGUUAAGUGUUCCGCCUGGGGAGUACGCACGCAAGUGUGAAACUCAAAGGAAUUGACGGGGGCCCGCACAAGCGGUGGAGUAUGUGGUUUAAUUCGAUGCAACGCGAAGAACCUUACCAGGGUUUGACAUCCUGCGAAUCUCUUGGAAACGAGAGAGUGCCUCCGGGAACGCAGUGACAGGUGGUGCAUGGCUGUCGUCAGCUCGUGUCGUGAGAUGUUGGGUUAAGUCCCGCAACGAGCGCAACCCACGUCUUUAGUUGCCAGCAUUUAGUUGGGCACUCUAGAGAGACCGCCGGUGAUAAACCGGAGGAAGGUGUGGAUGACGUCAAGUCAUCAUGCCCCUUACAUCCUGGGCUACACACGUACUACAAUGCUACGGACAAAGAGCAGCAAGUUCGCGAGGACAAGCAAAUCUCAUAAACCGUGGCUCAGUUCAGAUCGUAGGCUGCAACUCGCCUACGUGAAGGAGGAAUCGCUAGUAAUCGCAGGUCAGCAUACUGCGGUGAAUACGUUCCCGGGCCUUGUACACACCGCCCGUCACACCAUGGAAGUUGGCCACGCCCGAAGCCGUUACUCCAACCCUUGUGGAGGAGGACGUCGAAGGUGGGGCUGAUGACUGGGGUGAAGUCGUAACAAGGUAACCGUA